This 519-nucleotide ribosomal RNA is filed under the name Oenococcus oeni. RNAcentral's name for it is "bacterial SSU rRNA". It matches the Rfam family "Bacterial small subunit ribosomal RNA", at positions 829 to 1348 of the family's 1533-position model. The record is from RNAcentral. Lineage: Bacteria; Bacillati; Bacillota; Bacilli; Lactobacillales; Lactobacillaceae.
GUUUCCGCCUCCUAGUGACGUAGCAAACGCAUUAAGCACCCCGCCUGAGGAGUACGGCCGCAAGGCUAAAACUUAAAGGAAUUGACGGGGACCCGCACAAGCGGUGGAGCAUGUGGUUUAAUUCGAAGAUACGCGAAAAACCUUACCAGGUCUUGACAUACCAAUGAUCGCUUUUGUAAUGAAAGCUUUUCUUCGGAACAUUGGAUACAGGUGGUGCAUGGUCGUCGUCAGUUCGUGUCGUGAGAUGUUGGGUUAAGUCCCGCAACGAGCGUAACCCUUGUUAUUAGUUGCCAGCAUUUAGUUGGGCACUCUAAUGAGACUGCCGGUGAUAAACCGGAGGAAGGUGGGGACGACGUCAGAUCAUCAUGCCCCUUAUGACCUGGGCAACACACGUGCUACAAUGGGAAGUACAACGAGUCGCAAACCGGCGACGGUAAGCUAAUCUCUUAAAACUUCUCUCAGUUCGGACUGGAGUCUGCAACUCGACUCCACGAAGGCGGAAUCGCUAGUAAUCGCGAA